This 253-nucleotide ribosomal RNA is filed under the name uncultured bacterium. RNAcentral's name for it is "partial 16S ribosomal RNA". It matches the Rfam family "Bacterial small subunit ribosomal RNA", at positions 524 to 776 of the family's 1533-position model. The record is from RNAcentral.
UACGUAGGGUGCGAGCGUUGUCCGGAAUUAUUGGGCGUAAAGAGCUUGUAGGCGGUUUGUCGCGUCUGCUGUGAAAUCCGGGGCUCAACCCCGGACUUGCAGUGGGUACGGGCAGACUAGAGUGUGGUAGGGGAGACUGGAAUUCCUGGUGUAGCGGUGGAAUGCGCAGAGUAUCAGGAGGAACACCGAUGGCGAAGGCAGGUCUCUGGGCCGUAACUGACGCUGAGGAGCGAAAGCAUGGGGAGCGAACAGG